This 25-nucleotide non-coding RNA is filed under the name Mus musculus (house mouse). The record is from RNAcentral. Lineage: Eukaryota; Metazoa; Chordata; Mammalia; Rodentia; Muridae.
UGGAAAUAGGUCUGCGGCAGAAAGG